UGUGUAGUUUGUACGUCUCCAUUAAACAUGACAAUAGAUUAGAAAUAAUUUGUUUUAACUUUUGUACGGCUCUUUGUAGGCGGACGUUUUACUGGCAUCCAGUAGUCGCUUUCAGUCCAAAAUGGCAGAAGCGUAGCUCUGCUGCUGGGCGCUGAUGUUGCAAUGGAACGAGCAACUGACUUUAACUUCUUAGCAGUAUACGUUCUUUGGCUAAACUGCAGUUUGCUGUGUAACUCUUCACGUUAAUUGUUUAACGCUUCCUCUGAGCAGAAACGGUCAGUCCUGCGGUGUGUUUAGUUCUGUUGGCCAAACACACCGAAGGACUCUGCUGCCCACCGGCUGCUAACAGCUCACUAGCUCUCCUCUUAGCACACGAGAAGACGAGCUCCAUGGCAGCCAGCGCUCGGCUCAGUUUCAUUUGCUUAGCGAGUUACCAUAUAGCCUACGUACAGUUGUCAUACCCUGAUCACUUACUGCCCCUACCCUUGGGUUAAGAGUAGUGAGGAGUCAGCAGUCAAUGAUGGUAUAAAAAACAUGUUUUCAUAAAGUGUGAAUCAUUGCAGCCACGAGAGGUCCUUGACCAUACAGUCACACAUGAGCACAAAAAUGUUAAACUGAAUGGUACAGCAGUAUGCAGAGAUUAGCCGUGGACAGACAGACAGACGCACAGAGAGAGAGAUGCAUACACAUGACCAAAUAUAUAAUUUUCUGGCGGAGAUAAUAAUAAUAAUAAAAGCAGUUUGGUGCUGGCAGCAGUGUCAGUGAGGUCACGGUGUAGUGAAGCCUCGGCUGUGCUUAUUGGAGCAGAAAACCGAGAGGGAGGGGCCUGUGACAUCACUGACACCUGCUCCUGCAAUGCACUUAUUACAGAGGUGAUCAUUUCAAUUAUGAUGAAUGUACUGUAUGUAUUUUAUUACACCACCAUCCAUAGGAAGCAGUGGUGUUAGACAGAAUGAUAUCAGCGUGUUAAUCUGCUGUGUGUUAAUCUGCUGUGUGUGUGUGUGUGUGAGUGUAUGUGCGUGGGUGUUUGUGUGUGUUGUGUAACGUUGCCAGUGAACACUGUGUUCAGACAGGCAGGAUCACUGCAUCUGUUUACAGCGACCUGCAGAUUAGAUCAGACCUCACACUUCAAAUAGAGACUAAUCCAAUGCACACACACACACACACACACACACGUACACACACACACACACACACACACACACAGAGUCCUGCGGGAACAUUAAAGUCGGCGACAUAAUCCAUCGAGUUCAAAUGGAAACACUUAGAGUCAGAGUUGUAAUCAUGGAGAUGGUGUGUUUGUGUGUGUGUGUGUGUGUGUGUGUGUGUGUGUGUACAUGCUACCAACAACACACACUCCCUCUCAGUCCCAGUUUCUAUGCUCUCAUUAGUUUACUUGUUUUUCCUGCCCUGCUGGAUGUAAAACCAAAAUAGAGACGUUGGUCAAUUUGUGUCUAACAGCGGUCUAAAGUAAUUAAGUACAUUUACUCAAGUACUGAACAUCAUUGGAGG
Molecule: long non-coding RNA, 1512 nt
Organism: Sebastes umbrosus (honeycomb rockfish)
Lineage: Eukaryota; Metazoa; Chordata; Actinopteri; Perciformes; Sebastidae
Exons: 3
Source: RefSeq, a predicted model, not a curated record